GACGAACGCUGGCGGCGUGCUUAACACAUGCAAGUCGAACGGUAAGGCCCUUCGGGGUACACGAGUGGCGAACGGGUGAGUAACACGUGGGUGAUCUGCCCUGCACUUCGGGAUAAGCCUGGGAAACUGGGUCUAAUACCGGAUAGGACCACUGCCUGCAUGGGUGGUGGUGGAAAGCUCUUGCGGUGUGGGAUGGGCCCACGGCCUAUCAGCUUGUUGGUGGGGUGAUGGCCUACCAAGGCGACGACGGGUAGCCGGCCUGAGAGGGUGACCGGCCACACUGGGACUGAGAUACGGCCCAGACUCCUACGGGAGGCAGCAGUGGGGAAUAUUGCACAAUGGGCGCAAGCCUGAUGCAGCGACGCCGCGUGAGGGAUGACGGCCUUCGGGUUGUAAACCUCUUUCAGCACCGACGAAGCGCAAGUGACGGUAGGUGCAGAAGAAGGACCGGCCAACUACGUGCCAGCAGCCGCUGUAA
Molecule: ribosomal RNA, 478 nt
Filed under: uncultured bacterium
Lineage: Bacteria
Description: partial 16S ribosomal RNA
Rfam family: Bacterial small subunit ribosomal RNA
Source: RNAcentral